CUUCACAUAGCUAUAUAAACCUAGCUUGUCAUCCUGAUCAGUAAAAGAGGUACAUUUGCACAUAUGUACAUACAUACUAAAUGGCAUCUGAUUUAAUUAUUUCUGAACGUUGCAUGCACGCACGUACAUAUGUAUGUACAUAUCUACUCAAAGUUUAUUGGAACGUAAGGACAUACACCAAUUCAACAUUAAGAACCCUUCGCAAAGUCCCCAGAAGUUAAGUUUAAAAUGCUUUAUUUGCAGCUAUGUAAUAUUCAUAAAUUAGUUUAAUAAUAUUAUAACAGGUAUAUAACAAAUAUGUAAUUUCAAGGUGGGUUGUAUUUUCGAUUUUUCGUUUUUCAAACUCAGUUUCAUUGCGUCAAUUAUAAAUCUCUUUAUUGUUUAAUUCUUAAUUUAAAUGUAAUUUUUUUCAUUUUUUCGCAGUAGACGCUUGUUCCGGCAAUGGUUGGCUAAUUUGUUUUAUAGUUUCUAUUAAAAAUGUUUACUUUUGUAUUCUUUUAAUGCAUCCACUUCUCUAAUCAAGUAUCUAUAGCCCUAUCAUAUGUUUUACUUUGUGAUAAAACUAUAUUUAAAAUUAAUAUGACCUCUAUCGUACUUUAAUAUUCUUUUAUUGUAAAAGAAAC
This 623-nucleotide long non-coding RNA is filed under the name Drosophila guanche. The record is from RNAcentral. Lineage: Eukaryota; Metazoa; Arthropoda; Insecta; Diptera; Drosophilidae.